This 383-nucleotide long non-coding RNA is filed under the name Homo sapiens (human). RNAcentral's name for it is "LHRI_LNC549.2". The record is from RNAcentral. Lineage: Eukaryota; Metazoa; Chordata; Mammalia; Primates; Hominidae.
GGGACCGAGAGCUGCGGGCGGGCUGGAGGUACCCCACCGCGGGGUGGUGCUCUGACUGCGGGAACCGUUGAAGAGCUGCCCCCGGGGAGUCAGCGAGGCGCCACUGGUCUCUUAGACAUCUUCUCAAGAUUAUGCUAAGAGAAAUGACUGCACCCUUUUCCUGAGCUAUGGCAGUCAGACCUGGCAGUGGUAACUACUCUACAGAACUCCCAAACCUGGCAAGGAUGGUGCAGAUUUUGGCAGAUUAUGGCUUUGUCCCCACCCAGCACUGAUGAUAUUAUAAAACCUAUACUACAAGAAAUGAUAAUGGAAGUUCUUCAACUGAGCAAGAAAUGAUAUUAACAGAAAACUUGGAUCUUCAGAAGCAAAUGAAGAACAUCAGA